UACGUAGGGAGCAAGCGUUGUUCGGAUUUACUGGGCGUAAAGGGCGCGUAGGCGGCGCGGUAAGUCACUUGUGAAAUCUCUGAGCUUAACUCAGAACGGCCAAGUGAUACUGCAGUGCUAGAGUGCAGAAGGGGCAAUCGGAACUCUUGGUGUAGCGGUGAAAUGCGUAGAUAUCAAGAGGAACACCUGAGGUGAAGACGGGUUGCUGGGCUGACACUGACGCUGAGGCGCGAAAGCCAGGGGAGCAAACGGG
RNAcentral lists this ribosomal RNA (253 nucleotides) under uncultured bacterium. RNAcentral describes it as "partial 16S ribosomal RNA". It matches the Rfam family "Bacterial small subunit ribosomal RNA", at positions 524 to 776 of the family's 1533-position model. The record is from RNAcentral.